AUUGAACGCUGGCAGCAUGCUUUACACAUGCAGGUCGAACGGUAACAGGGUGCUUGCACCGCUGACGAGUGGCGAACGGGUGAGUAAUGCGUCGGAACGUGCCGAGUAGUGGGGGAUAACGCAGCGAAAGUUGUGCUAAUACCGCAUACGUACUGAGGUAGAAAGUGGGGGACCUUCGGGCCUCACGCUAUUCGAGCGGCCGACGUCUGAUUAGCUGGUAGGUGAGGUAAAGGCGCACCUAGGCGACGAUCAGUAGCGGGUCUGAGAGGAUGAUCCGCCACACUGGGACUGAGACACGGCCCAGACUCCUACGGGAGGCAGCAGUGGGGAAUUUUGGACAAUGGGCGAAAGCCUGAUCCAGCCAUUCCGCGUGUCUGAAGAAGGCCUUCGGGUUGUAAAGGACUUUUGUCGGGGAGGAAAUCCCCAGCGUUAAUACCGCUGGGGGAUGACAGUACCUGAAGAAUAAGCACCGGCUAACUACGUGCCAGCCGCCGCGGUAA
RNAcentral lists this ribosomal RNA (500 nucleotides) under uncultured bacterium. RNAcentral's name for it is "partial 16S ribosomal RNA". It matches the Rfam family "Bacterial small subunit ribosomal RNA", at positions 30 to 523 of the family's 1533-position model. The record is from RNAcentral.